GGAAUAUUGCGCAAUGGAGGAAACUCUGACGCAGUGACGCCGCGUAUAGGAAGAAGGUUUUCGGAUUGUAAACUAUUGUCGUUAGGGAAGAUAAAAGACUGUACCUAAGGAGGAAGCCCCGGCUAACUAUGUGCCAGCAGCCGCGGUAAUACAUAGGGGGCAAGCGUUAUCCGGAAUUAUUGGGUGUAAAGGGUGCGUAGACGGAAGAACAAGUUGGUUGUGAAAUCCCUCGGCUCAACUGAGGAACUGCAACCAAAACUAUUCUCCUUGAGUGUCGGAGAGGAAAGUGGAAUUCCUAGUGUAGCGGUGAAAUGCGUAGAUAUUAGGAGGAACACCAGUGGCGAAGGCGGCCUGCUGGGCUCUAACUGACGCUGAGGCUCGAAAGCGUGGGUAGCA
Molecule: ribosomal RNA, 396 nt
Filed under: uncultured bacterium
Lineage: Bacteria
Description: bacterial SSU rRNA
Rfam family: Bacterial small subunit ribosomal RNA
Source: RNAcentral